AUAUGUAGUACAUUUCUGGUGUUAUUAUCUGCUCCCUCACCCUCACCAAUACCCGCCCAAUUUGUAUUUUUUUUUUACAUGCAUGCAAAUUUGGAGACGCACUAAUGUGGUGAAAGUGUGUGUGUGUGUGAGAUACCAAGUGUUUUGCCUCUCCUUAUAAGUGCACAAGAUACACACUCGUCUCUAAUCUCCGAUCACCUCCACCAGUAACCAUGAUGAUCCUGAGCACCACCGCUCUCGCCGGACUCCUCCUCUCUCUCUCGGGGUUUGAGGCCAUAGUGCAUCUGACCCAGGAGAAGAUCAUGAACGUGAACAUAGGACAAGAUGUAAAGAUUCUCUGCAGGAGAGAUGAUAGUGGUAGCUGGGCCAUUUCAUGGUACCAGCAGAAAGCUGGAGAUGCUCCAAAGUUCUUACUAGCUGAUAGCACCAGAGCCAGUGGUCUGUCCAGCAGAUUCACAUACACAGACAGUGGUGUGGAUGAGUACCUGAACAUCGGCCGAGUGGAAGCUGAGGACGAAGCGGUGUAUUACUGCGGCUGCAUCAUUUGUCAAAACCAUCACAAUGCUGCAGCUCAAUGAGCAACUCGUACAAAAACCUCAGAGUGUUUCAGUCAUCCUAAUGAUCCGUCCCAUUCAGUCCAGGAGCUCCAAUCCAGGCAGUAAUGAUUAGAAAUUUUUUUUACGAUUUCUCAUGCCACAUGUCUGAAAUUUCCUCCAGA
Molecule: non-coding RNA, 718 nt
Organism: Sinocyclocheilus grahami
Lineage: Eukaryota; Metazoa; Chordata; Actinopteri; Cypriniformes; Cyprinidae
Source: the annotation of a RefSeq genome assembly